CGGGCAGACUAGAGUGCGGUAGGGGAGAUUGGAAUUCCUGGUGUAGCGGUGGAAUGCGCAGAUAUCAGGAGGAACACCGAUGGCGAAGGCAGAUCUCUGGGCCGUAACUGACGCUGAGGAGCGAAAGGGUGGGGAGCAAACAGGCUUAGAUACCCUGGUAGUCCACCCCGUAAACGUUGGGAGCUAGUUGUGGGGUCCAUUCCACGGAUUCCGUGACGCAGCUAACGCAUUAAGUUCCCCGCCUGGGGAGUACGGCCGCAAGGCUAAAACUCAAAGGAAUUGACGGGGACCCGCACAAGCGGCGGAGCAUGCGGAUUAAUUCGAUGCAACGCGAAGAACCUUACCAAGGCUUGACAUAUACGAGAACGGGCCAGAAAUGGUCAACUCUUUGGACACUCGUAAACAGGUGGUGCAUGGUUGUCGUCAGCUCGUGUCGUGAGAUGUUGGGUUAAGUCCCGCGACGAGCGCAACCCUCGUUCUAUGUUGCCAGCACGUAAUGGUGGGAACUCAUGGGAUACUGCCGGGGUCAACUCGGAGGAAGGUGGGGAUGACGUCAAAUCAUCAUGCCCCUUAUGUCUUGGGCUUCACGCAUGCUACAAUGGCCGGUACAAAGGGCUGCAAUACCGUGAGGUGGAGCGAAUCCCAAAAAGCCGGUCCCAGUUCGGAUUGAGGUCUGCAACUCGACCUCAUGAAGUCGGAGUCGCUAGUAAUCGCAGAUCAGCAA
RNAcentral lists this ribosomal RNA (724 nucleotides) under uncultured bacterium. RNAcentral describes it as "bacterial SSU rRNA". It matches the Rfam family "Bacterial small subunit ribosomal RNA", at positions 633 to 1355 of the family's 1533-position model. The record is from RNAcentral.